RNAcentral lists this ribosomal RNA (916 nucleotides) under uncultured bacterium. Its description in RNAcentral is "bacterial SSU rRNA". It matches the Rfam family "Bacterial small subunit ribosomal RNA", at positions 8 to 916 of the family's 1533-position model. The record is from RNAcentral.
AGAGUUUGAUCAUGGCUCAGAGUGAACGCUGGCGGCGUGGAUUAGGCAUGCAAGUCGCGCGAACCCGCAAGGGUUAGCGGCAAACGGGUGAGUAAUGAAUGAGCAACUUGCCUUUAAGUCUGGAAUAGCUUCGUGAAAACGGAGGUAAUACCGGAUAAUAUCAGCGAAGCGCAUGCUUUGCUGAUUAAAGCUGGGGAUCGUAAGACCUGGCGCUUAGAGAUGGGCUCGUUUCCUAUCAGCUAGUUGGCGAGGUAAUGGCUCACCAUGGCUUAUGACGGGUAGCUGGUCUGAGAGGAUGGUCAGCCACACUGGGACUGAGACACUGCCCAGACUCCUACGGGAGGCCGCAGUCGAGAAUAUUUAGCAAUGGGCGAAAGCCUGACUAUGCGACGCCGCGUGAGGGAUGAAGGAUUUCGGUUCGUAAACCUCUUUUGUCACGAAAGAAUAUUUCAAUUCUAACACAGUUGAAACUGACGGUACGUGACGAAUAAGCCACGGCCAACUCCGUGCCAGCAGCCGCGGUAAUACGGAGGUGGCAAGCGUUACUCGGAAUCAUUGGGUGUAAAGGGCAAGUAGGCGGUCUAAUAAGUGAGGGGUGAAAUCCCGCGACUCAAUCGCGGAAUUGCCUUUCAAACUGUCAGACUUGAGGUAAGAAGAGGAAAAUGGAAUUCUCGGUGUAAGGGUGAAAUCUGUAGAUAUCGAGAAGAACACCAACGGCGAAGGCAAUUUUCUACUCUUAUCCUGACGCUAAAUUGCGAAAGCUAGGGGAGCGAACAGAAUUAGAUACUCUGGUAGUCCUAGCCGUAAACGAUGAGCACUAGGUGUUAGUCCCUUUGGGACUAGUGCCGCAGCUAGCGCAUUAAGUGCUCCACCUGGGGACUACGAUCGCAAGGUUAAAACUCAAAUGAAUUGACGG